ACUUAUAUAGUAUAAUAAUUAUAAUUGACUUCCAAUCAAUAGAUCUAAUUUUAGUGUAAGUA
This 62-nucleotide transfer RNA is filed under the name Paederus fuscipes. RNAcentral's name for it is "tRNA-Gly". It matches the Rfam family "tRNA". From Rfam's summary of the family: Transfer RNA (tRNA) molecules are approximately 80 nucleotides in length. Their secondary structure includes four short double-helical elements and three loops (D, anti-codon, and T loops). The record is from RNAcentral. Lineage: Eukaryota; Metazoa; Arthropoda; Insecta; Coleoptera; Staphylinidae.